RNAcentral lists this ribosomal RNA (462 nucleotides) under uncultured bacterium. Its description in RNAcentral is "partial 16S ribosomal RNA". It matches the Rfam family "Bacterial small subunit ribosomal RNA", at positions 338 to 795 of the family's 1533-position model. The record is from RNAcentral.
CCUACGGGUGGCAGCAGUGAGGAAUAUUGGUCAAUGGACGCAAGUCUGCACCAGCCAAGUAGCGUUCAGGAUGACGGCCCUCCGGGUUGUAAACUUCUAUUAGUUGUGAAUAAAAGGGGGCUCGUGAGCCCCGUAUUGUAUGUACCAUCAGAAAAAGGACCGGAUAAUUCCGUGCCAGCACCCGCGGUAAUACGGAAGGUCCGGGCUUUAUCCGGAUUGAUUGGGUUUAAAGGGCGCGUAGGCCGUCUUUUAAGUCAGCUGUGAAAGUCCGCGGCUCAACCGUGGAAUUGCAGUUGAAACUGGAGGCCUUGAGUGCACACAGGGAUGCCGGAAUUCAUGGUGUAGCGGUGAAAUGCUUAGAUAUCAUGAAGAACUCCGAUCGCGAAGGCAAGUGUCCGGGGUGCAACUGACGCUGAGGCUCGAAAGUGCGGGUAUCAAACAGGAUUAGAUACCCCGGUAGUC